UAGGGAAUCUUCGGCAAUGGACGAAAGUCUGACCGAGCAACGCCGCGUGAGUGAAGAAGGUUUUCGGAUCGUAAAACUCUGUUGUUAGAGAAGAACAAGGACGUUAGUAACUGAACGUCCCCUGACGGUAUCUAACCAGAAAGCCACGGCUAACUACGUGCCAGCAGCCGCGGUAAUACGUAGGUGGCAAGCGUUGUCCGGAUUUAUUGGGCGUAAAGCGAGCGCAGGCGGUUUCUUAAGUCUGAUGUGAAAGCCCCCGGCUCAACCGGGGGGGUCAUUGGAAACUGGGAGACUUGAGUGCAGAAGAGGAGAGUGGAAUUCCAUGUGUAGCGGUGAAAUGCGUAGAUAUAUGGAGGAACACCAGUGGCGAAGGCGGCUCUCUGGUCUGUAACUGACGCUGAGGCUCGAAAGCGUGGGGAGCAAACAGG
Molecule: ribosomal RNA, 428 nt
Filed under: Gemmatimonadota bacterium
Lineage: Bacteria; Pseudomonadati; Gemmatimonadota
Description: Gemmatimonadetes bacterium partial 16S ribosomal RNA
Rfam family: Bacterial small subunit ribosomal RNA
Source: RNAcentral